Molecule: transfer RNA, 73 nt
Filed under: Canis lupus familiaris (dog)
Lineage: Eukaryota; Metazoa; Chordata; Mammalia; Carnivora; Canidae
Also listed under: 1 other name
Rfam family: tRNA
About the family: Transfer RNA (tRNA) molecules are approximately 80 nucleotides in length. Their secondary structure includes four short double-helical elements and three loops (D, anti-codon, and T loops). Further hydrogen bonds mediate the characteristic L-shaped molecular structure. tRNAs have two regions of fundamental functional importance: the anti-codon, which is responsible for specific mRNA codon recognition, and the 3' end, to which the tRNAs corresponding amino acid is attached (by aminoacyl-tRNA synthetases). tRNAs cope with the degeneracy of the genetic code in two manners: having more than one tRNA (with a specific anti-codon) for a particular amino acid; and 'wobble' base-pairing, i.e. permitting non-standard base-pairing at the 3rd anti-codon position.
Source: Rfam by way of RNAcentral
GCCUGGCUGGCUCAGUCAGAAGAGCAUAUGACUCCUGAUCUUGGAAACAUGAGUUCAAGCCCCAUAUUGGGUG